UGAGUAGCACAGAUGGUCGCGCCUUUUAUAAGGUGAGGAAAGUCCGGGCUUCAUAGGGCAGGGUGCCGGAUAAUGUCCGGUGGAGGCGACUCCAAGGCUAGUGCAACAGAAAUAAACCGCCAGGGCAGGAAUUUUCCUGCUGUGGUAAGGAUGGAAAGGUGGUUUAAGAGACCACCGCCCUUCUGGUAACAGAAGGGGCAUAUGUAAACCCCACCUGAAGCAAAGCCGAACAGAGAGCUAUACGGUUGCCCGCCGUGCUUUCGGGUAGGCUGCGUAGUAUCUGUGAAAGCGGAUACUGGAGCCGUAUGGUAACAUACGGUCAAGAUAGAUGACCAUCCAAGACAGAACCCGGCUUAUAGUGCUGCUCAUACC
This 372-nucleotide RNase P RNA is filed under the name Clostridiales bacterium. RNAcentral describes it as "RNase P RNA component class A". It matches the Rfam family "Bacterial RNase P class A". Rfam says of the family: Ribonuclease P (RNase P) is a ubiquitous endoribonuclease, found in archaea, bacteria and eukarya as well as chloroplasts and mitochondria. Its best characterised activity is the generation of mature 5'-ends of tRNAs by cleaving the 5'-leader elements of precursor-tRNAs. The record is from RNAcentral. Lineage: Bacteria; Bacillati; Bacillota; Clostridia; Eubacteriales.